This is an RNA transcript of Homo sapiens (human), 8195 nucleotides long. It is a transcript of the gene named mitogen-activated protein kinase 14, with no coding region annotated. NCBI's taxonomy places the organism in Eukaryota, Metazoa, Chordata, Mammalia, Primates, Hominidae. The transcript is spliced from 12 exons. The record is from RefSeq and is marked reviewed.
ACUGGAGCCUUAGCGGGCGCAGCAGCUGGAACGGGAGUACUGCGACGCAGCCCGGAGUCGGCCUUGUAGGGGCGAAGGUGCAGGGAGAUCGCGGCGGGCGCAGUCUUGAGCGCCGGAGCGCGUCCCUGCCCUUAGCGGGGCUUGCCCCAGUCGCAGGGGCACAUCCAGCCGCUGCGGCUGACAGCAGCCGCGCGCGCGGGAGUCUGCGGGGUCGCGGCAGCCGCACCUGCGCGGGCGACCAGCGCAAGGUCCCCGCCCGGCUGGGCGGGCAGCAAGGGCCGGGGAGAGGGUGCGGGUGCAGGCGGGGGCCCCACAGGGCCACCUUCUUGCCCGGCGGCUGCCGCUGGAAAAUGUCUCAGGAGAGGCCCACGUUCUACCGGCAGGAGCUGAACAAGACAAUCUGGGAGGUGCCCGAGCGUUACCAGAACCUGUCUCCAGUGGGCUCUGGCGCCUAUGGCUCUGUGUGGUGAGUGUCGCUGGGCCUGGGGCCGCUGUGGGCAGGGUGGCCCCUCGCGCCCGAGGGCCAGGCCUGCUCCACUGCUCAGCGUUGCGUCAAGUGGCAGGAAUUUUCCUCGGGGGAGGGCAUUGCUGCCCCUUCGAGCUCUGCCCGUUCUGCACCUCCAGCACCCCUCGCCCUGCACUCACGCAGGUAUGCGGUCCACCGUGUGCAGCACUCAGGUCCGCUGCGAGAGUGCUGCUUUUGACACAAAAACGGGGUUACGUGUGGCAGUGAAGAAGCUCUCCAGACCAUUUCAGUCCAUCAUUCAUGCGAAAAGAACCUACAGAGAACUGCGGUUACUUAAACAUAUGAAACAUGAAAAUGUGAUUGGUCUGUUGGACGUUUUUACACCUGCAAGGUCUCUGGAGGAAUUCAAUGAUGUGUAUCUGGUGACCCAUCUCAUGGGGGCAGAUCUGAACAACAUUGUGAAAUGUCAGAAGCUUACAGAUGACCAUGUUCAGUUCCUUAUCUACCAAAUUCUCCGAGGUCUAAAGUAUAUACAUUCAGCUGACAUAAUUCACAGGGACCUAAAACCUAGUAAUCUAGCUGUGAAUGAAGACUGUGAGCUGAAGAUUCUGGAUUUUGGACUGGCUCGGCACACAGAUGAUGAAAUGACAGGCUACGUGGCCACUAGGUGGUACAGGGCUCCUGAGAUCAUGCUGAACUGGAUGCAUUACAACCAGACAGUUGAUAUUUGGUCAGUGGGAUGCAUAAUGGCCGAGCUGUUGACUGGAAGAACAUUGUUUCCUGGUACAGACCAAAUUUGGUAUAUAUAUAUUACAGUCCAAGAUAUAAGAAAUACUGGGGAGGGGACAAGAUGGACAACUAGAAAUAGCUGCAAUCAGAGGCUUCCAACAAGAAGAACGAAAACGGUGAGUGAAUCCUGCACCGGCAACUGAGGUAUUCACCUUCUCUCAAUGGGACUGACUAGGUGGUUGGCAUGACCCAUGGAGAGUGAGGAAAAGCAGGGUGGAGCGACAGCCCACCUGGGAGCUGCAAAGGGCAAGGGGAGCUCCCACCCCAAGCCAAGGGAGGUGGUGAGUGAUUGUUCUACCCUGUCCAGGAAAUCAUGCUUUUUCCAAGGAUCUGUGCAACCUGUGAUUCAGGAGAUCCCCCUCAUGAGCACAUGCCACCAGGGCCUUGGGUCCCAAGCACAGAGCUGUGUAGGUUCUUGGUAGCCCUUUGGCUGGAGACUACAUAAGACUACUGAGUUCCUUGGGGGAGGGGUUGCUGUCAUCACUGCAGCUCCAGUCUGCUGUUUUCCCCUGCUGGUGCUGGAGAGACUGGGCGGUUGGGACCCAGAAGGAAUUCCCUACAGUGCAGACCCUACAGUGGUGGUGGCACAUCAUGGCCAGACUGACUCUUUAGGCUGAACUCUGACUCAUCCCCCUACACGGGGCAGGGCCUCUCUGCGGGAAUUUCAGCAACUCCAGCCAGGGGUUUACAGACAGAAUUCCAAUCUCCCUGGGAUGGAGCCCCUGGUGGGAGGGGUGGCCACAGUCUCCACAGAUCAGCAGAGUUAGUCUUUCCCCUUGCUGGCUCUGAGGAAUCCAGGCAGUCUGGAUGAGUGAGAUUUCCCCCAGUGCAGCACACCCCCUCCACCAAGGGGCAGCCAGAGUGCUUCGUUAGGUGGGCCUGUGCCUCUUGACUGGAUGAGACCCCUCCAACAGGGGUCGCCAGACACCUUAUGCAAGAGCAUUCCCACUGGCAUCAGGUUGGUGCCCCUCUGGGACGGAGCUCCCAGAGGAAGGAACAGGCAGCCAUCUUUGCUGUUCUGCAGUCUCCACUGGUGACACCUCCAGGUACAGGAGGGACCCAGGCAAAGAGUCUGGAGUGGACCCCCAGCAAACUGCAGCAGCCCUAUGGAAGAGGGGCCUGACUGUUAAAAGCAAAACAAAUGGAAAGCAACAACAACAUCAACAAAAAGGUCCCCACCAAAACCCCUCCAAAGGUUAGCAGCCUCAAAGUUCAAAGCUAGGUAAAGUCAUGAAGAUGAGAAAGAAUCAAUGAAAAAACGCUGAAAACUCAAAAAGCCAGAGUGCUUCUUUUCCUCCAAAUGAUCACAGCACCUCUCUGGCAAGGGCAUAGAUGUGGGCUGAGGCUGAGAUGGAUGAAUUGACAGAAGUAGACUUCCGAAGGUGGAUAAUAAUGAAUUUCACUGAGCUAAAGGAGCAUGUUCUAACCCAAUGCAAAGAAUCUAAGAACCAUGAUAAAACAUUACAGGAGCUGUUAACCAGAAUAACCAGUUUAGAAAGGAACAUAAAUGAUGGAGCUGAAAAACACAACAUGAGAACUUCAUAAUGCAACCACAAGUAUCAAUAGCCAAAUAGACCAAGUGGAGGAAAGAAUUUCAGAGCUUGAAGACUAUCUUGCUGACAAGAUAAGAGAAGAAUGAAAGGAAAUGAACAAAACUUUUGAGAACUAUGGGAUUAUUUAAAAAGACUGAACCUGCGAAUGAUAGGGGUACCUAAAAGAAUUGGGGAGAAUGGAAACAAGUUGGAAAACACACUUCAGGAUAUCAGCCAGGAGAACUUCCCCAACCUAGCAAGACAGGCCAGCAUUCAAAUCAGGAAAUCCCUAGAGAACCCCAGUAAGCUACCCCAUGAGAAGAUCAACCCCAAGAUACAUAAUCAUCAGAUUCUCCAAGGUUGAAAUGAAGGAAAAAAUACUAAGGGCAGCCAGAGAGAAAGGCUAGGUCACCUACAAAGGGAAGCCCAUCAGGCUAAGAGUGGACCUCAGCAAAAACCCUACAAGCCAGAAGAGAUUCGGGGCCAAUAUUCAACAUUCUUAAAGAAUUUCCAACCCAAAGUUUCAUAUCUGGCCAAACUAAGCUUCAUAGUCAAAGAAGAAAUAAAAUCCUUUUUAGACAAGCAAAUGCUGAGGGAAUUCGUCACCACCAGGCCUGUCUUGCAAGAGCUCCUGAAGGAAGCACUAAAUAUGGAAAGGAAAAACUUACUGGCCACUACAGAAACACACUGUUUUCUUUUACCAGUAACACUAUGAAGCAGUUACCUCAACAAGUCUGCAAAAUAACCAGCUAGCAUCAUGAUGAUAGGAUCAAAUUCACACAUAAAAAAUAUUAACCUUAAAUGUAAGUGGGCUAAAUGCCCCAAUUAAAAAACACAGAACGGCAAGCUGGAUAAAGAAUCACGACCCAUCAGUAUGCUGUUGUAUUCAAGAGACCCAUCUAACAUGCAAAGACAUACAAAGGCUCAGAAUAAAGGGAUGGAGGAAAAUUUACCAAGCAAAUGGAAAGCAGAAAAAAGCAGGGGUUGCAAUCCUAUUUUCUGACAAAACAGACUUUGAACCAGCAAAUAUCAAAAAAGACAAGGGCAUUACAUAGUGGUAAAGGGCUCAAUUCAACAAGAAAAGCUAACUAUCCUAAAUAUAUAUGCACCUAAUACAGGAGCACCCAGAUUUAUAAACCAAGUUCUUAGAGACCUACACAGAGACUUAGACUCCCAUACAAUAAUAGUGUGAGACUUUAAUACCCCACUGUCAAUAUUAGACAGAUCAUCAAGCAGAAAAUUAACAAGGAUAUUCAGGACUUGAACUCAGCUCUGGACCUGAUAGAUAGCUACAGAACUCUCUAUACAGAAACAACAGAAUAUACAUUCUUCUUAGCAGCACAUCGCACUUAGGCUAAAAUUGAUCACAUAAUUGGAAGUAAAACACUCCUCAGUAACUGCAAAAGAACUGAAAAUAUAACACACAGCCUCUCACACCACAGCACAAUCAAAUUAGAACUAAGAUUAAGAAACUCACUCAAAACCACACAAUUACGUGGAAAUUGGACAACCUGCUCCUGAAUGACUCCUGGAUAAAUAAUGAAAUUAAGGCGGAAAUCAGAAGUUCUUUGAAACCAAUGAGAACAAAGAGAACAUACCAGAAUCUCUGGGACACAGCUAAAGCAGUGUUAAGAGGGAAGUUUAUAGCACUAAAUGCCCACAUCAAAAAGCUAGAAAGAUCUCAAAUUGACACCCUAACAUCACAACUAAAAGAACUAGGGAACCAAGACCAAACAAACCCUAAAGCUAGCAGAGGACAAGAAAUAACCAAGAUCAGAGUGGAACUGAAGGAGAUAGAGACAGGAAAAACCCUUCCAAAAAUAUCAGUGACUCCCAAGAUCUGGUAUUUUGAAAAACAUAAAAUAAAAUAAAAUAGACUCCUAGCUAGAGUAAUGAAGAAAGAAGAAUCAAAUAGACACAAUAAAAAUGAUAAAGGGGGUAUCACCACUGACCCUGCAGAAAUAUGAACAACUAUCAGAGAAUACUAUAAACACCUCUAUGCAAAUAAACUAGAAAAUCUAGAAGAAAUGGAUGAAUUCCUGGACACAUAUGACCUCCCAAGACUGAACCAGGAAAACGUUGAAUCUACCAAUAACAAGUUCUCAAAUUGAGGCAGUAAUAAAUAGCCUACCAAGCAAGAAAAGCCCAGGACCAGACAGAUUACAGCCAAAUUCUACCAGAGGUACAAAGAAGAGCUGGUACCAUUUCUUCUGAAACUAUUCCAAACAUACAAAAGGAGGGACUCCCCUAUAACUCAUUUUAUGAGGCCAGUAUUAUCCCAAUACCAAAGCCUGCCAGAAAUACAACAGAAAAAGAAAACUUAAGGCCAAUAUCCCUGAUGAACAUCGAUGCAAAAAUCCUCAGUAAAAUACUGGCAAACCAAAUCCAGCAGCAUGUCAAAAGCUUAUCCAUCCACCACGGUCAAGUCAGCUUCAUCCCUGGGAUGCAAGGCUGUUUUAACAUAUGCAAAUCAAUAAACAUAAUUGAUCACAUAAACAGAACUAAAGGCAAAAACCACAUGAUUAUCUCAAUGGAUGCAGAAAAGGCCUUUAAUAAAAUUCAACAUCCCUUCAUGUUAAAAACUCUCAGUAAACUAGGUGUUGAUGGAACAUACCUCAAAAUAAGCCAUGUAAGACAAACCCACAGCCAGUAUCUUACUGAAUAGGCAAAAGCUGGAAGUAUUCCCCUUCAAAACUGGCACAAGGAUGCCCUCUUUCCCUACUCCUAUUCAACAUAGUAUUGGAAAUUCUGGCCAGGGCAAUCAGGCAAAAGAAAGAAAGAAAGGGUAUUCAAAUAGGAAGAGAGGAAGUAAAACUCUGUUUGCAGGUGACAUGAUCCUAUAUCUAGAAAACCUUGUUGUCUCAGCCCAAAAGCUUCUUAAGCUGAUAAGCAACUUCAGCAAAGUCUCGGGAUACAAAAUCAAAGUGCAAAAAUCACAACUAUUCCUAUACACCAACAGUAGGCAAGCAGAGAGCCAAAUCAUGAAUGAACUCUUAUUCACAACUGCUAAAAGAGAAUAAAAUACCCAGAACUAUAGCUAUUAAUAACAAGGGAAGUGAAGGACCUCUUCAAGGAGAACUACAAACCACUGCUGAAGGAAAUCAGAGAGGACACAAACAAAUGGAAAAACAUUCUGUGCUCAUGGAUAGGAAGAAUCAAUAUCAUGAAAAUGGCCAUAUUGCCCAAAGUAAUUUAUAAAUUUAAUGCUAUUCCCAUUAAACUACUGUUGACAUUCUUCACAGAAUUAGAAAAAAACUUUAAAAUUCAUAUGGAACCAAAAAAGAGUCCAUAUAGCCCAAACAAUUCUAAGCAAAAAGAACAAACCUGGAGGCAUCACACUACCUGACUUCAAACUAUACUACGAGGCUACAGUAAUCAAAACAGCAUGGUACUAGUACAAAAACAGACCAAUGGAACAGAAUAGAGAUCUCAGAAAUAAAACUGCACAUCUACAACCAUCUGAUCUUCAACAAACCUGACAAAACGAGCAAUGGGGAAAGGAUUCCCUAUUUAAUAAAUGGUGCUGGGAGAACUGGCUAGCCAUGUGCAGAAAAUUGAAACUGGACCCCUUCCUUACACCUUAUACAAAAAUUAACUCAAGAUGGAUUAAAGACUUAAAUGUAGAACCCAAAACGAUAAAAACCCUAGAAGAAAAUCUAGGCAAUAUCAUUAAGGACAUAGACAUGGGCAAAAAUUUCAUGAUGAAAACAUCAAAAGCAAUGGCAACAAAAGCAGAAACUGACAAAUGGGCUUCUGCACAGCAAAAGAAACUAUCGUCAGAGUGAACAGACAACCUACAGAAUGGGAGACAGUUUUUGCAAUCUAUCCAUCUGACAAAAGUCUAAUAUCCAGAAUCUACAAGGAAUUUAAACAAAUUUACAAGGAAAAAACCCAUUAAAAAGUUGGCAAAGGGCCAGGCACAGUGACUCAUGCCUGUAAUCCCAGCACUUUGGGAGGCUGAGGCAGGUGGAUCACGAGGUCAGGAGAUCGAGAUCAUCCUGACUAAUUUGGCGAAACCCCAUCUCUACUAAAAAUGCAAAAAAUUAGCCAGGCAUGGUGGUGUGCGCCUGUAGUCCCAGCUACUCAGGAGGCUGGGGCAGGAGAAUGACGUGAACCCAGGAGGCGGAGCUGGCAGUGAGCCGAGAUCACACCACUGCACUCCAGCCUGGGCGACAGAGCGAGACUCCGUCUCAAAAAAAAAAAAAAAAUAUUGGCAAAGGACAUGAACAAACACUUCUCAAAAGAAGACAUUUAUACAGCCAACAAACAUGAAAAAAAGCUCAGUGUCACUGACCAUUAGAGAAAUGCAAAUGAAAACCACAAUGAGAUACUGUCUCAUGCUAGUCAGAAUGGUGAUUAUUAAAAAGUCAAGAAACAACAGAUGCUGGUGAGGCUAUGGAGAAAUAUGAACACUUUUACACCGUUGGUAGGAAUGUAAAUUAGUUCAACCAUUGUGGAAGACUGGUGAAAUCCUCAAAGACCUAGAACCAGAAAUAACAUUUGACCCAGCAAUCCCAUUACUGGGUAUAUACCCAAAGGAAUAUAAAUCAUUCUGUUACAAAGAUACAUGCAUGUGUAUGUUGAUUGCAGCAGUAUUCAGAAUAGCAAAGACAUGGAAUCAACCCAAAUGCCCAUCAGUGAUGGACUGGAUAAAAAAACAUGGUACAUAUACACCAUGGAAUACUAUACACCCAUAAAAAUGAAUGAGAUUGUGCCCUUUGCGGGGACACUGAUGGAGCUUGAAGCCAUUUUCCUCAGAAAGCCAAACACCACAUGUUCUCACAAGUGGGAGCUGAACAAUGAGAACACAUGGACACAUGGAGGAGAACAACACACGCUGGGGCCUGUUGGUGGGGUGGGGGUCAGGCGGAGGGAACGCAUCAGGAUAAAUAGCUAAGGCAUGCGGGGCUUAACACCUAGGUGAUGGAUUGAUAGGUGGAGCAAACCACGAUGGCACAUAUUUACCUAUGUAACAAACCUGCACAUCCUGCACUUGUAUCUCAGAACUUUAAUUUAAUUUUAAAAAAAUAUAAGAAAUACUCAUUUUUGUCUUAAAGCCAAUAAUGUGUUAUCAGAUUAGAAAUUAUUCUUGUUUGUGACUUUGCAGAACCCUUCCAUCUGGCCUAAUGAUAGCAUUAUUAUUUUUUAAAGAAUGAAGCCCUUUCUUAAAAGCCUAGUUGACUAGGGAUAUCAAGUGGACACAGCUGACAGAACUUUGUACUAGAAAGGAGGGAGGAUACAGAAUGUCUCUUCAGGAGGAGCAUGCCCUACGUGAAGUGAUCAUCCUGCAGGAGCCUUGACCUAGAGGGAUUCACCGUGUUGGCUAGAUAUUGAUCAGUUGAAGCUCAUUUUAAGACUCGUUGGAACCCCAGGGGCUGAGCUUUUGAAGAAAAUCUCCUCAGAGUCUG